Molecule: long non-coding RNA, 1427 nt
Filed under: Sarcophilus harrisii (Tasmanian devil)
Lineage: Eukaryota; Metazoa; Chordata; Mammalia; Dasyuromorphia; Dasyuridae
Description: lncRNA (ENSSHAG00000021082.1)
Source: RNAcentral
AACCCUUUAUAAUGUAAUAUUUCACACAUCUCAACAUAUAGGCCCAAAUUUAUUGAAGCAGUGUGUGUGUGUGUGUGUGUGUGUGUGUGUGUGUGCCAAAAACCCUGUCCAUAUUUUCUUUGUUUUACCCUCCAGUCUCCCAAUGAACUAGGAAAGGAGCUGGCUGUAUUCUUUUCCUUUGGGGAACAAAAGUACAUGAAAUCAACCAGUCCUCUCUCAGAUUUAAAUAGGAUAGAAAGACUGAUAUCAAUAGGUGUUCUAUAUCUAUAUACAUAUAUAGAUAUAUAAUUGGAAUGUUACUGUAUGGCUUUACCAAGGAAACAGCAGUGGGAUGGUAAUGUGUUUUCUUUGACCUAGCAUAAUUUCUCUCGGAUCAAAUAUGUGCAAUCAUGUGUGUUCAUGUAUGUAUGUGUGCAUAGGCACACUUUUUAAAAUAAUUAGAAUCCUUUACAAUAAUAACUGUUACCAGCCCUAGGAGGGUAAUAGGAUAUUCUGGUUGAUCAGUUAUUUGAAAUGAUAAUACAAUAAAUAUUUACUUAGAGAACUUAAGAAAAGUAACAUGAUUAGAUCAAUUUUCAAUUAGAAUAAAAUUAAAAUAGACUUUAAUAGUGAUAAAAUUAACUUUUUUGGUGAUUCAGAAAGUACCCUCAUAAAGAAUAUCAUUUUUCAUCUUGGUGAUAGGCAAAAGUCCUAAUUUAGGUCUGACUGAAGGACAGAUAACAGAGUUUACUGUUCAUGAUAUUCCAUUAAAAUGAAUCUGAUUGAAUUCUCUUGUAUACUGUUGGUCUAUUGUAAUUAAAAUUUUUGUGUCAUUUAAAAGAAACAGAUUUCCCAGAAUAUGGAUUUUUCCAAGUGUGUUCUUAUCUAGAACAAAGAGCUCUUUUUGCAGAAGGGGACAUUUUUUUUUCUCCGUUCCAUUGCAUUCUUCAAAUCACACUGUGAUCUAAUUUCAUUAAUAAUAUGAUUCCUAAAAGAAAAAAGAUUAAAUUUUUAAUAGAUGGCACUUUUUUCUAGACAAAGGAAAAUAGUUUUGUUUUCACCAGGUGUUUUAGUAUCAUUGUUUCAUAUACAUCAGUGAAGUGGUCAAUAUGAUAAUACCUACAUACACUAAAAAAAUUUUUAGCUAAAUUUUCUAUUCAAACUUGUCAAAUAUACCAGGACAAAGCCAUGUGCUUUAAAAGAAAAUGAAUAAAGCAGCUCAUUUUCUCAGGUCUAAUCAGACUUAAUGGAUUCAAUUAAUGUUGUUUAAUAUUAAAUGUUUCCAAAGACCUCCUUUGUCAGAAUCAUCUUUAUGUAGUCUACUACCUUUUUAUAUCUUCUACUUAUGGAACAGAUAGGAAAUAUAUCAAUAAAUUAUUAUUGGUAUGAUAAUGUGUUUCUUAAACCUGGAAUAACUUUUAGGUAUAAUUUUAACUCUUUUAAUGAAA